UUCCGGUUGAUCCUGCCGGACCUGACUGCUAUCGGAUUGGUACUAAGCCAUGCGAGUCAUUGUAGCAAUACAAGGCAGACGGCUCAGUAACACGUAGUCAACCUACCCUAUGGACGGGGAUAAUCUCGGGAAACUGAGAAUAAUACCCGACAGAUCAUUGUGCCUGGAAUGGCUAAUGGUUGAAAUGAUUUAUCGCCGUAGGAUGGGACUGCGGCCUAUCAGUUUGUUGGCGGGGUAAUGGCCCACCAAGACUAUUACAGGUACGGGCUCUGAGAGGAGAGGCCCGGAGAUGGGUACUGAGACACGGACCCAGGCCCUAUGGGGCGCAGCAGGCGAGAAACCUUUGCAAUGUGCGAAAGCACGACAAGGUUAAUCCGAGUGUUUUCUGCUAAAGAAAUCUUUUGUCAGUCCUAAAAACACUGAUGAAUAAGGGGUGGGCAAGUUCUGGUGUCAGCCGCCGCGGUAAAACCAGCACCUCAAGUGGUCAGGAGGUUUAUUGGGCCUAAAGCAUCCGUAGCCGGCUAUGCAAGUUUUCGGUUAAAUCCAUGCGCUCAACGUAUGGGCUGCCGGGAAUACUGCACAGCUAGGGAGUGGGAGAGGUAGACGGUACUCCGUAGGAAGGGGUAAAAUCCUUUGAUCUAUGGAUGACCACCUGUGGCGAAGGCGGUCUACUAGAACACGUCCGACGGUGAGGGAUGAAAGCUGGGGGAGCAAACCGGAUUAGAUACCCGGGUAGUCCCAGCUGUAAACUAUGCAAACUCAGUGAUGCAUUGGCUUGUGGCCAGUGCAGUGCCGCAGGGAAGCCGUUAAGUUUGCCGCCUGGGAAGUACGUACGCAAGUAUGAAACUUAAAGGAAUUGGCGGGGGAGCACCACAAGGGGUGAAGCCUGCGGUUCAAUUGGAGUCAACGCCGGGA
This 915-nucleotide ribosomal RNA is filed under the name uncultured archaeon. Its description in RNAcentral is "bacterial SSU rRNA". It matches the Rfam family "Archaeal small subunit ribosomal RNA", at positions 1 to 923 of the family's 1478-position model. The record is from RNAcentral.